RNAcentral lists this unclassified non-coding RNA (281 nucleotides) under uncultured fungus. RNAcentral describes it as "partial contains small subunit ribosomal RNA, internal transcribed spacer 1, and 5.8S ribosomal RNA". The stretch from base 1 to 73 matches the Rfam family "Eukaryotic small subunit ribosomal RNA", at positions 1759 to 1831 of the family's 1831-position model. Lineage: Eukaryota; Fungi. The record is from RNAcentral.
GCAAACUUGGUCAUUUAGAGGAAGUAAAAGUCGUAACAAGGUCUCCGUUGGUGAACCAGCGGAGGGAUCAUUACUGAGUUUCACAACUCUUCAACCCUAUGUGAACUGAAGUCUGGUUGCUUCAGGCAGGCGGUCCCCGGGGGGGACCGCAGCCUCACUGAGGCGCCUGCCGGAGGAUACCUAAACUCGUUUUAAUAUGCAACUCUCUGAGUGAUAAAAACAAAUGAAUCAAAACUUUCAACAACGGAUCUCUUGGUUCUGGCAUCGAUGAAGAACGCAGC